Molecule: ribosomal RNA, 465 nt
Filed under: Vreelandella stevensii
Lineage: Bacteria; Pseudomonadati; Pseudomonadota; Gammaproteobacteria; Oceanospirillales; Halomonadaceae
Description: partial 16S ribosomal RNA
Rfam family: Bacterial small subunit ribosomal RNA
Source: RNAcentral
CCUACGGGAGGCAGCAGUGGGGAAUAUUGGACAAUGGGCGAAAGCCUGAUCCAGCCAUGCCGCGUGUGUGAAGAAGGCCUUCGGGUUGUAAAGCACUUUCAGUGGGGAAGAAAGCCUUGGGGCUAAUACCCUCGAGGAAGGACAUCACCCACAGAAGAAGCACCGGCUAACUCCGUGCCAGCAGCCGCGGUAAUACGGAGGGUGCGAGCGUUAAUCGGAAUUACUGGGCGUAAAGCGCGCGUAGGCGGUCUGAUAAGCCGGUUGUGAAAGCCCCGGGCUCAACCUGGGAACGGCAUCCGGAACUGUCAGGCUAGAGUGCAGGAGAGGAAGGUAGAAUUCCCGGUGUAGCGGUGAAAUGCGUAGAGAUCGGGAGGAAUACCAGUGGCGAAGGCGGCCUUCUGGACUGACACUGACGCUGAGGUGCGAAAGCGUGGGUAGCAAACAGGAUUAGCUACCCCUGUAGUC